GUGCUCACUUUGGCAGCAUAUUUACUAAAAUUGGAAUGAUGCAGAGAAGACUAGCAUUGCCCCUGAACAAGUGUAUUGUGCACAUUUGUGAAGCAUUCUAUAUUUUU
This is a small nuclear RNA of Myotis lucifugus (little brown bat), 107 nucleotides long. The record is from Ensembl. Lineage: Eukaryota; Metazoa; Chordata; Mammalia; Chiroptera; Vespertilionidae.